Molecule: ribosomal RNA, 730 nt
Filed under: uncultured Alternaria
Lineage: Eukaryota; Fungi; Ascomycota; Dothideomycetes; Pleosporales; Pleosporaceae
Description: eukaryotic LSU rRNA
Rfam family: 5.8S ribosomal RNA (bases 234-387)
Source: RNAcentral
CUUGGUCAUUUAGAGGAAGUAAAAGUCGUAACAAGGUCUCCGUAGGUGAACCUGCGGAGGGAUCAUUACACAAAUAUGAAGGCGGGCUGGAACCUCUCGGGGUUACAGCCUUGCUGAAUUAUUCACCCUUGUCUUUUGCGUACUUCUUGUUUCCUUGGUGGGUUCGCCCACCACUAGGACAAACAUAAACCUUUUGUAAUUGCAAUCAGCGUCAGUAACAAAUUAAUAAUUACAACUUUCAACAACGGAUCUCUUGGUUCUGGCAUCGAUGAAGAACGCAGCGAAAUGCGAUAAGUAGUGUGGAUUGCAGAAUUCAGUGAAUCAUCGAAUCUUUGAACGCACAUUGCGCCCUUUGGUAUUCCAAAGGGCAUGCCUGUUCGAGCGUCAUUUGUACCCUCAAGCUUUGCUUGGUGUUGGGCGUCUUGUCUCUAGCUUUGCUGGAGACUCGCCUUAAAGUAAUUGGCAGCCGGCCUACUGGUUUCGGAGCGCAGCACAAGUCGCACUCUCUAUCAGCAAAGGUCUAGCAUCCAUUAAGCCUUUUUUUCAACUUUUGACCUCGGAUCAGGUAGGGAUACCCGCUGAACUUAAGCAUAUCAAUAAGCGGAGGAAAAGAAACCAACAGGGAUUGCCCUAGUAACGGCGAGUGAAGCGGCAACAGCUCAAAUUUGAAAUCUGGCUCUUUUAGAGUCCGAGUUGUAAUUUGCAGAGGGCGCUUUGGCUUUGGCAGCGG